UCGAGAAUCUUCGGCAAUGGGCGCAAGCCCGACCGAGCGACGCCGCGUGGAGGACGAAGGCCUUCGGGUUGUAAACUCCUGUCGGGGGGGAACAAGGGGGCGUGCAGAACGUCUCUUGAGUGAUCCCCGGAGGAAGCACGGGCUAAGUUCGUGCCAGCAGCCGCGGUAAGACGAACCGUGCGAACGUUAUUCGGAAUUACUGGGCUUAAAGCGCGUGUAGGCGGGCCGGCACGUCGGUCGCUGAAAGCCCCCGGCUCAACCGGGGAAGCGGCGCCGAUACGACCGGCCUGGAGGGGGGUAGGGGGACCUGGAACUUCCGGUGGAGCGGUGAAAUGCGUUGAGAUCGGAAGGAACGCCCGUGGCGAAAGCGAGGUCCUGGACCCUUUCUGACGCUGAGACGCGAAAGCCAGGGGAGCGAACGG
Molecule: ribosomal RNA, 422 nt
Filed under: uncultured bacterium
Lineage: Bacteria
Description: bacterial SSU rRNA
Rfam family: Bacterial small subunit ribosomal RNA
Source: RNAcentral